CGCUGGCGGCUCGCGGAGUCUCCACUCAGCAAUGUGCUUUGCAGCAAACAGGGGCUGCCCACGUUGCGGGGUUUCCUUCAGGCCGGGGUUAGAAACCCGAGAGGCCCCCGUGCUCCAGCUGCCGCUCGGCGGAGCGGAGGGUAGGAGCCCAUAGAAACAUCUGGCGCGGAUAAGGUUGUAAAGCUCAUGCUUUUACAUGCGGAGGGCCCCAGUUCACUCCCUGCAGACAUCGCAAACAGGAGUGGUGUCACAUUUGGCUAUGCCAUCUGUAACCGCUAAACCACAACCAACUUCUUGCUCCUGGAAGAGAAGCCGAAGCCCAGCACUCCACUGGUGCUCCGCAAUGUGUGCGUUGUGGCUCCCUGCAUGGGCUGCUACAUGUAGAGUGUUUGUAUUUGAUUAAAAGGCGCUGCCCCCUUUAAGAACAGAAUGUGGGAAACAGCAUGUGUUGGAGACUGAGUGGUGUGAUAUGACCUGUGUGUCCACUGUCUGGAAGACCCUGCCUGCCUAAGAUCUGAAAAGGUCAGAACU
Long non-coding RNA from Mauremys reevesii (Reeves's turtle), 531 nucleotides. RefSeq lists it as uncharacterized. The record is from RefSeq and is a predicted model, not a curated record. The transcript has 3 exons. Lineage: Eukaryota; Metazoa; Chordata; Testudines; Geoemydidae.